Molecule: unclassified non-coding RNA, 526 nt
Filed under: Hevea brasiliensis (rubber tree)
Lineage: Eukaryota; Viridiplantae; Streptophyta; Magnoliopsida; Malpighiales; Euphorbiaceae
Source: RNAcentral
UGAGCUCUCCAGUGCUUUUGUUCUACAAAAAGAACAAUUUUUUUAUUAGUUACAUAAUAAAAAUCCAUUGAGAUAUUAUAGGCAAUUGAGAAAGCAAAAAACCUAAUAAGGACUAUAACUACUCUAUUUUGCUCACCCAACAUGCUUAAUUCUUCUCAAGAAUAAGAGGACAAGACUGAUUUAACAACCCAGUCACCUCACACUUAAUAUUUCAUAUCCAAUUUUGAGCCACUUGUGAAAACUCAGUAUAAAGACCAGGCUCUAGCACAUGGAUUCAGUUAAAUCUCCAUGAUAUCUACUUCUAUAGUAAUCAUGUGAUGGUUUCCUUAAGUACCUUCUCCAGGGACAUUUUACAUGCCAAAAUAAAUGUUAGCUACUCAUGAUAAACGACUUGUGCUUGCAAAGACUACAUUAUACUUGAAAACAGAGUGAAAAAUUCUCCUUCCACAGAAAGUGAUUUAGACUAAUUCUUAAGUUAUUGCAGUACUGAAAACCAUAUACACAGUUAACAAUUUCAAAGAGAGCU